Molecule: ribosomal RNA, 393 nt
Filed under: uncultured bacterium
Lineage: Bacteria
Description: partial 16S ribosomal RNA
Rfam family: Bacterial small subunit ribosomal RNA
Source: RNAcentral
AUACGGAGGAUGCAAGCGUUAUCCGGAUUUAUUGGGUUUAAAGGGUGCGUAGGCGGUUUGCUAAGCGGGAGGUGAAAUGCCGGCGCUCAACGUCGGAAGUGCCUCCCGAACUGGUGGACUGGAAUGACUCUGCCGUGGGAGGAAUGUGUAGUGUAGCGGUGAAAUGCUUAGAGGUUACACAGAACACCGAUUGCGAAGGCAUCUCACGAAGGGUUGAUUGACGCUGAGGCACGAAAGCGUGGGGAUCAAACAGGAUUAGAUACCCUGGUAGUCCACGCAGUAAACGAUGAUGGCUAACCGCUGGUUUAUUCGGAUCAGUGGCCAAGCGAAAGCGAUAAGCCAUCCACCUGGGGAGUACGACCGCAAGGUUGAAACUCAAAGGAAUUGACGGGG